This 425-nucleotide ribosomal RNA is filed under the name uncultured bacterium. RNAcentral describes it as "bacterial SSU rRNA". It matches the Rfam family "Bacterial small subunit ribosomal RNA", at positions 85 to 507 of the family's 1533-position model. The record is from RNAcentral.
AACCAAGAGACCGGCGCACGGGUGCGUAACGCGUAUGCAAUCUACCUUUUGCAGAGGGAUAGCCCAGAAGAAAUUUGGAUUAAUACCUCAUAGUAUAGUACUUUGGCAUCAAGGAACUAUUAAAGUCACAACGGCAAAAGAUGAGCGUGCGUCCCAUUAGCUAGUUGGUAAGGUAACGGCUUACCAAGGCUACGAUGGGUAGGGGUCCUGAGAGGGAGAUCCCCCACACUGGUACUGAGACACGGACCAGACUCCUACGGGAGGCAGCAGUGAGGAAUAUUGGACAAUGGGCGCAAGCCUGAUCCAGCCAUGCCGCGUGCAGGAUGACGGUCCUAUGGAUUGUAAACUGCUUUUAUACAGGAAGAAACACUCCGACGUGUCGGAGCUUGACGGUACUGUAAGAAUAAGGAUCGGCUAACUCCGUG